CGAUUUAGCUCAGUGGUAGAGCAACUGAUUUGUAAUCAGUAGGUCGGGGGUUCAAGCCCCUCAAUCGGC
Molecule: transfer RNA, 69 nt
Filed under: bovine gut metagenome
Rfam family: tRNA
About the family: Transfer RNA (tRNA) molecules are approximately 80 nucleotides in length. Their secondary structure includes four short double-helical elements and three loops (D, anti-codon, and T loops).
Source: RNAcentral